GACGAACGCUGGCGGCGUGCCUAACACAUGCAAGUCGAGCGGGAAGCUUUUAAUUGAGACUUCGGUUGAUUUUGAAAGUGGAGAGCGGCGGACGGGUGAGUAACGCGUGAGUAACCUGCCCAUAAGAGGGGGAUAACAACCGGAAACGGUUGCUAAUACCGCAUAUUAUGCUUUUGCCGCAUGGCAGAGGUAUGAAAGAUUUAUCGCUUAUGGAUGGACUCGCGUCCAAUUAGCUAGUAGGUGAGGUAACGGCCCACCUAGGCGACGAUUGGUAGCCGAACUGAGAGGGUGAUCGGCCACAUUGGAACUGAGAAACGGUCCAGACUCCUACGGGAGGCAGCAGUGGGGAAUAUUGGGCAAUGGGCGAAAGCCUGACCCAGCAACGCCGCGUGAGGGAAGAAGGGUUUCGGCUCGUAAACCUCUGUCCUAUGGGACGAAGAAAGUGACGGUACCAUAGGAGGAAGCCCCGGCUAACUACGUG
This 481-nucleotide ribosomal RNA is filed under the name uncultured bacterium. Its description in RNAcentral is "bacterial SSU rRNA". It matches the Rfam family "Bacterial small subunit ribosomal RNA", at positions 28 to 507 of the family's 1533-position model. The record is from RNAcentral.